This 301-nucleotide ribosomal RNA is filed under the name uncultured bacterium. Its description in RNAcentral is "partial 16S ribosomal RNA". It matches the Rfam family "Bacterial small subunit ribosomal RNA", at positions 509 to 807 of the family's 1533-position model. The record is from RNAcentral.
CAGCCGCCGCGGGAAAACGUAGGUGGCAAGCGUUGUCCGGAAUUAUUGGGCGUAAAGGGCUCGCAGGCGGUUUCUUAAGUCUGAUGUGAAAGCCCCCGGCUCAACCGGGGAGGGUCAUUGGAAACUGGGAAACUUGAGUGCAGAAGAGGAGAGUGGAAUUCCACGUGUAGCGGUGAAAUGCGUAGAGAUGUGGAGGAACACCAGUGGCGAAGGCGACUCUCUGGUCUGUAACUGACGCUGAGAGACGAAAGCUAGGGGAGCAAAUGGGAUUAGAUACCCCAGUAGUCCCUGUCUCUUAUAC